Molecule: ribosomal RNA, 494 nt
Filed under: uncultured bacterium
Lineage: Bacteria
Description: partial 16S ribosomal RNA
Rfam family: Bacterial small subunit ribosomal RNA
Source: RNAcentral
GACGAACGCUGGCGGCGUGCUUAACACAUGCAAGUCGAACGGUGAAGCGCCUUCCUUUUUGGUGGGUGUGGAUGAGUGGCGAACGGGUGAGUAACACGUGAGUAACCUGCCCCCUUCUUCUGGAUAACCGCAUGAAAGUGUGGCUAAUACGGGAUAUUCUGGGUCUGUCGCAUGAUGGGUCUGAGAAAGAUAUUGUUUCGGUGGGGGAUGGGCUCGCGGCCUAUCAGCUUGUUGGUGGGGUGAUGGCCUACCAAGGCGGUGACGGGUAGCCGGCCUGAGAGGGUGGACGGUCACACUGGGACUGAGACACGGCCCAGACUCCUACGGGAGGCAGCAGUGGGGAAUAUUGCACAAUGGGCGCAAGCCUGAUGCAGCGACGCCGCGUGAGGGAUGGAGUCCUUCGGGUUGUGAACCUCUUUCGCCAGUGAAGCAGGCCUGCCUCGUUUGUGGGUGGGUUGACGGUAGCUGGAUAAGAAGCGCCGGCUAACUACGUG